Pezoporus occidentalis (night parrot) is the source of this 1373-nucleotide long non-coding RNA. RefSeq lists it as uncharacterized. The transcript is spliced from 3 exons. The record is from RefSeq and is a predicted model, not a curated record. NCBI's taxonomy places the organism in Eukaryota, Metazoa, Chordata, Aves, Psittaciformes, Psittacidae.
GCACCGCUUUCUAUCAACCCCUGCAAUUUAAAGCUGGUCACAAUGGGCAGGCAGCUAAUAGCCAUGCUCUGCUAAUGAGACAAGCACUCACACAGGCAGCAGUUCUUCAGGAAAUUGCCCAUCACAGCUGGGCUCCUCCCUGCUCAGUUUGGCUAAAGUCUAAGGCAUAGAGGGCUUCAGAUAGUUGGUUACGAGACUGGAACCCUUUUCCCUUGCAUUUCCGUGGGCUAAGGAGACCUCAGCCAUUUACUCUGGUCUCCCUCUUCCCAUGACCACGGUUCCAGCUGAAGGACAAUCAGGAGAGCCAUAGAAGCCCCCAGGUGGCCUUAGAGGAGAGGUAUGAGGGAGUAAAAGAUCUGAAAGCUCUACAUUAAAAUUUAGAGAACAUAAGCUGCCUGGAUCGAGAUCCUUCUGCAUAGUAAUGUGCUUUCCACAGAACUAUAAAUGUUAAAACACAAAAAUUACUACCUGCAUUUUGGAGCAAAUCUCUAAAGAUAAUUAAUGUACAGAGACAAUUUUUUACUUACGAUUAUGCCUUCAAGAUGUAUGGCUGUUGCCCUCAGGAAGAAAAGAUCUGCAUUAUAAAAUUUCUGCAUGAUAGUGGUUGCUUAAAGAACCGCUGGUGAUAUGGGAGAGAUGCUGCCAUUUGCUCUGAAAAUUCCAGGAAUGAUGAGAGGUCGUCAUGACCAAGACGUCACUUCUCAUGAAUGAGGCAUGCAAAAUAUACCUUUUUAUGUGGAACGAUUUAUUUAAAAGAUAACUUCAGUAUCAAAAGGACAAAUGGAAAAAAGUUGAAUCCCUUUUCUUAAAAUAAGGAAAUAGUCUGGGGAAUGGAUGGCUAAAAGCAGCUUAGCAGAAGAUGCUUAAAAUCACUCAAAUGGUUAUGAAAAGUGCUGGCUAAUGUUCAGAAGAAAAUCAUACUCAUAAAUGAUGUUCAGCACUGGCACUGCUGGUGUGUGAUCUGCCCCUGCAUGCCCCCUUCAGCCCUUCCACAUGCAUUGUAAGAAGCUAAAGAGGCAGCGUUUCAUGGAUAAGGUCUAAGCCCAGGCAGGGAAAAGCUUCUACCCUCAAAGAAGGCUACAAUUAAUUAAUAACAUUUGACUUUCAAGAGCAUUGUUAAUGUAAUGUGUAUUUAUUAUCAGGCCGAAAGCAAAUCAGGAGUCUAGGUGAGGCACCCAGGAUAGUGCAGCGAAGCAGUGGGGUGGAAUGGAGCCCCAGGCUUGAGCUAGAAAAGUGGCUUGAUGCAUGGUGGACUAAGUGCUGCCUGUGAAUAGGAAAACCUAUAAAAAUAUCAGUACCCAAAUUCCACUUAGUUAUCUCUGUACAGAGCAAGGUAGAACAGCAAAGCAAUGCUGUCUUUUUUUUUUGCUAAA